This 1896-nucleotide ribosomal RNA is filed under the name Triticum aestivum (bread wheat). RNAcentral's name for it is "partial small subunit ribosomal RNA". The record is from RNAcentral. Lineage: Eukaryota; Viridiplantae; Streptophyta; Magnoliopsida; Poales; Poaceae.
AUGGGCGAGGAGCCGACCGCCACCGCCAAGGGCAACCCCACCGGCGGGUCGCUGACCACCACCAAGGCCACCAUCGCGGAGUCCAAGGCCAGUCCCCCCGCCGCCUUGCUGCCCGCCGUCAUCAACGGCAGCACCCCCGAGGCCUUGCCGCCCGACGCCACGGACACCGCCAAGGCCAUGCUCUCCAGCGUCGACGCCGCCAAGGGCGCGAACCACGCCGACGACGAGCCGACCGCCACCAUGGAUGCCGUCAAGGGCAGCCCCACCGGUGUCUUGCUGGCCACCUCCAAGGGCACGGGCUCCAUGGCCACCAUGGGCGCCGCCGACGGCAGUGCCCCCGACGCCUCGGUGCCCGCCGCCAUGGACAUCGCCGACCCCAAGGGCAGCACCGCCGACGGCAGUGCCCCCGACGCCUUGGUGCCCGCCGCCAUGGACAUCGCCGACCCCAAGGGCAGCACCGCCGACGGCAGUUCCCCCGACGCCAUGGUGCCCGACGCCAUGGACAUCGCCGACCCCAAGGGCAGCACCGCCGACGGCUUCCAGCCCACGGCCAUGGACACGGGCUCGCACUCCAGCGUGGACGCCAAGGGCACGGACCACGACGACGUGCUGGCCAGCGCCGCCAAGGGCGCGAACGCCGUCGACACGCUGAACGCUGAUGUUGAUGCCGCCAACGUCGACAAGCUGCUGAAUGCUGAUGUGGAUGCCGCCAAGGGCUUCAACACCGACGACCCGCUGGCCGCUCGGCCACCAAAGUUUGAUAUCAAGGAAGUAAAGAGUCUAACUGCUAAGAAGGAUUGGCAAGGAAUUGAUGAACUCUUGUGCAAGUUUCUGGGUGAUUGCCUUGGGAAGGACCCCCAAGAUGCUGGCAUCAUCCAUCCAGGUCUACUCCUGAUACCACGCCAAGAAAAACUCAUACAACUGAUGCAGAACCAAGCAUUUGAGGAGGCUAAGAUUUUUUGUGAAAAGUUUAUUGAGCCUCUAAAGAAAUGUGAAUCUAAAUUCAGACCCUUGAGUCUAGAGUGGCGUAUUGAUGAGCUCAUCAUGAUUAUGAGGCAAAGGUCUGUUCCCGGAGGAAGCACUGUGGAUAUUGCAAGUUCAGUAUCAGACUAUAUGUUUCUGUAUUUCCCAAGGGCUAUGUGUGAUGAACCCAACCAUGCAGAAGAGGGUACAUGGCAGUUUGCCAUGAAAUUGCCAGUACAAACCAACCAGAUUUCUUCUACUGGCAAAGCUGUGAAACCGAGACAUGGGUUCAGGUGUCUAGCCUGUGGUUGGACAAUGGAUGGGACUAUAAGUAUCACUGGAUUAAAGAAGCAUAUUGUACACUCGAGGGAUGGAAAGUGCUGCCUUAAUGUGACUCAAGAUUUGCUUGACCGCAUGAAGUUGAUUGGCGGUUCAAAGGGUGUCCCUGACCUCUCUACUAUUGCUGCACUCUUCAAGGACAAGAAGAGGAAGGGAACUUCUUCAGGAUCGGCAGCAAAUCAGAAUACGGGAUCUUCUCGAUCUGCUGCCUGUGAGUCACCCUCUUCCGUUGUUGGUACCAGUAAGAAGAAGCUUAAGGUUGCUUCACCAACAGCAAGUUGCAACCUUCCAUCGUCACCACCGGCAGCAGCUGCGGUCCUUGCUGCUGAUGCAUCUUCCCGUGGGCUUGCAAAAAUCGUCACUGAGGAAGUGGUUACCUUGCGAAGGAUAGCUAAAUCCUUGCUUGAUCUGGCAGAGUCUGAAGAUCCUGAAGAUCCUGAUGUUAGCGCAGCAAUUGAGUUGGAGCAAGUGGCUUAUAAGCUGAUGAUGGCAGCUGCCAAUCGAAGGUCAGGUACCUCUUUGCCUGCCCAGAACAACGCACUGGCUCUGAGUGCGCCAAGCUCUGAAACGCUAUCCAAGACCGACAAAGUCUGA